Molecule: long non-coding RNA, 4137 nt
Organism: Ochlerotatus camptorhynchus
Lineage: Eukaryota; Metazoa; Arthropoda; Insecta; Diptera; Culicidae
Exons: 2
Source: RefSeq, a predicted model, not a curated record
UUCAAAGGCAGACCAGAAACGUAGCCUAUAGCCAGCGUCCGGAAAGAGAUGGAACCGGUGGGGAACAUUGUUGGAGACCGACUAUAGAGGAUGCUGAAUAGACUUCUGUAGUUUGUUUUGUGUGAGUUUCAUCAUUAUUUGAAUUAAGGGUACUAAUGGGGCCUGAAUAACCGCUUCUUUCUCUUGAGUACACUCUAGAACCUACAUUUCGAAUUUAGAUCUAUAAGCGAACUGCUAGUCUGAGUUCCUCUGGUAUAUUCAAUUAGCACGUAAUGUUGUGAACAACAAUUGGCCAGCAAUGCUCCCAUUUUAUUUAAAACAAUCCAAUGUCUACGAGAUUGUGCCGAUGGAUGUGCCCAAGCUGUGCCGAAUCUAAUUUCAGCACAAUGUGCACAAUGCUACAUUCACUAAUAACAAACAUACUAUUCUCGACAGAUCCAAGCACUCUGUAAGGAUAAAUUCAACAACAACUGAAACACAGUUUAAGAUUUUAAACGGCAGAGCACGAUCCAAUUAAAGACACCCGCAUAGAUGAAUUUGGUUGAUAUUCUCGUCAUUUUGCAAAAUACUUAGUUACGAAAAGCACCUUAGGGGCUGUCCACAAACCACGAGGUUGUCCACUGAUGAUAGCUUCUGACAGUUCUGACGGAAAUACUAACGUCUUGAAUCUGCCUAAACUUCAAACUUAGGAUAUCUGCUUCAAGCUCCCGCAAGAAAGUUUAAUAGUAUUCUUUAAUUCUUUAAAAUUGCUGGUUAAUGUUUGCUGAGUAGCACGUAAAUACCGGGGAAAUUUGCAGCUAAUUUUGGUCUUGGACUGAGGAUAGCUGAACAUCAUGAGCAUAAGCCUGAUAGACCGCCCGCGGAUGCUGCUCCGUUAUUGCCAGAUCAGCUGUAAUUACACAGAGAACCAAUAGACGUUGCUUGUGAAUCAUCCUCAAUGUGUAAAAACUGGUGAUCUCAAACUAAGCAUUGGCCACGUUCGAAUGCAAGUCAAGAAAGGAAUGACUAGACAUGUGUUGACGUGACACUCGCUUUGAUGGAAGCCGAGGAAUCACUGGGAUGUUGGGUUUGCAUUGGUUGAAUUCAAGCUGAACAUUGCAUUAGGUCCUAAGUAACAUUGAUCGAUUCUCUUCGUCGACUUUCUCGUCCGGUAAUAACCUGAGCACAUAACCGUUUCAUGUUGUGUUUGUCAUAUUAGAUGCUAGAUGAAAGCUUCGUUUAUCGAUGUGUGAGCUUAAAAUACCUGGGUAUGGCUUUACAUGGCCGUGGGGAUGCAAAGAGAAAGUCGACGAAGAGAAUCUGUCAAUGUUACUUAGGACCUAAUGCAAUGCGAAAGAGCUUGGGAUUGAACACACGGUCUUCUGCUCACUAGGCAUACGAACUCCGUAUAUAUUACAGUCAACUUUCGCUCUUUGGGCUAAACCCGCAGCCCACUUAGCGAAGGGCUUUAGUUAGUUGGGCUGAGCUGUCAAGCUGAAAAUUGGUUGAAGGAUACACCGAUUGUUUAUUAUCAUCACAAUCCUUUAGCAACUAUCCAAAUUGUUCAUACAUGAGCCCCUCGAAAAUGAAUCAGCAUUGUCAGAAAUGACGUUUGACUUUGAUUUAGAUUGGCUACAACCCAUCGAACGGGAGCCCAACUAACACGUAGCCCACUUAAACAUAGCCCAACGAGCGAAAUUUGACUGUACAAAACACCACUAGUGAACACUUUAAGCCAUUAACAACUCUUGAAUGUGGAGUGGCUUGAGCUAAUCUCAUGAUAUUCUGCUCAAUAACCAAAAGCGUUCGCUCUAAGGCCACCGAGCCCCUCAUAUCACAUCAUACCAUCUGACCAGCCUGACAUAAAUAAGAGGUAAAAUACCAAAUAAAACCAAAAACAUUGCAUGCAAAAUACUCCCUAAAUAACAAAAAAUAUAUAUUGGAUCCCAAAAGAAUACCUGUGUGGUAUCGUUUUUGUAUUGAAUUUGCUUAAUUUGUUAUUGGAAUGAUUUUUUGGUAUUAUUCUUUGGUAUUUUACCAGUUUAAGGUAUCGAGAUAUUCGUUCCUGCUCGGGUUUCCAUUUCACACCACUCCGGUCGAGCUCCCACACCUUGUACACAAUGCAAUUAUUUAACAUCAAAACAAACCUAAACACUCCCAAAGCACAUGCAUAGUGCACCAUACGCGACCGAACAAAUCGUGAGUGACCCCUCCAAACACAACGAACUAGAACUUGAACUAGGAAUGGCAAAAAAAACUAAAACCGAACAAUAGAUCAUGCGCGAUCGAGGCUCUACUACCAGCCAACAAACGGAUGGACUUGUUCGCUUUGUGCAAUAUAAGGCUUUGCAGCAGUAUAUUAGCCGUAUAAUUAACCUUACUCUGUGACAUCAAAUCGUUGACGGCUCUACUCCGUAGGCAUAAUUUUUCUUUUCAAUUGUUUUAUUUCAUUAGGCUCAAUCGGAUGAACUUAGACCAGAGCCUAGUUUGUUAUUUGAUCAUUAUAUAUUACAAUAAAUCUUAAAACUAAAGUCAAAAAGUUUAACACGGAAAGCACCUUAUCCUCCGCUAUCCAGUAAGUUUCUUCCAUCAAAACGGGAUUUACUUCCAGUGGGGGGAAUAGCGCUUCCCUUGGAGAAAUAGGCGCAAAUUGUGGUCUUCACUUAUAAAUUUAUCACCGAGCAAACUGCAGAUGACACAUCGAGAGAGGUACUGCUGGAUGCUACCGGUUUCGUAUAACCGUUUGGUAUAAUGGCCAUUUUUUACGUUCUUCUAGAUUGCUCAUUUGACCAACUGAGCAAUGGGAACCUUUGACCGUACCAAUGAUUUCUAUAGCGAUUGUAUUUGCAGUAAACUUUGCAAGUAUUAAGUUUGACGUUUAUAAUCGAUGUCGUUUUGGUUCCAUGUAACGAGCAAGAUAAAUCUCCCAUACAUUUUUUGUACAAUACCGUUGUAAUUGUUUCCUCCAAAGUGUAGUCUGCUGAAAGUCCCAUCACUCCAUCAGCUCUCCAAUGUGCAAUAUUUGUUACUGCAAUUCUUUAUGAUAGUUUGCUGUUUCCUCUACUUUAGUUUUAUGUACAUUACAUUGUUAAUAUUACUUACUCCCUGUUUUCAUUUCAUCCGCAUAUUGGUUUUACUGAGUGACAGUCCUUUGGUUUUAUUCAAUGUUUACUUUUUUCACUAUUUAGACAUCACUUUUCGCUUUCCAUAAACAAUUAUUCGCAACUGAGUAAUAAUAUUGACAGAAGAAUUAAGAAAUGUUAUUCAGCACUCUAUAGAUUUAGUAACAAUGAAAAAAUCCACUUAAUUUUAAAUGCAUAGUUGAGAUGAUCUAUUUAUUUUAUCGAAAUUUCAUGUAUAUGAGUGUCUUCUUAUAAUAUGUUUUCAAGUACACUUGAUGGAAAGGCUUUCUUUCUUGACAAUAAUCACCCAUAUUCAUAUUCUCUAUUCCGUUUCGGAGUGAGUACAAUUGAUUUGACUUUUUCCGACAAGAUUUCAUCGCAUAGCCUACUUGUUAAGUAAUACAUAAAUAAACCUAACGGAUAUUUUGAGUUUUCAUGUUUUCAGAAAACUCCAAACUGAUUCUUUGAAACAAUUAUCAAACACACAAUGAGCUGGAGAAACUGUGAGAUAUCCACUCAUAGGAGAUCGAUAAAGCGAAUUUCUCGUUGGUUCAUGGGUAGUAAAAAGUUGUCUAAAGAAUCAGCCUAGAAAUGCAUUCUUGCACUCAUGAUAAUGAUAAUAAUAAUUGAUCGUUGCGGAACACAACUAUACCAUAGAGAUAGCAGUAAGUAGACUGGCGGAUACAGAUUAACGAUAACACACGUUUUGACAGUUCGCUCUGGACAUUGGGCUCACACCCGCCAUUCUACGCUACUCGAAUGUCUAUUAGGCCUAUUCUGCGCGGCGUGUGAGGUGAGAUGACUCGCUGUCAUGACAAUUGUCACUUCACCAUCACUUUACUGCCACCUCACCUCACACGCCGCGCAGUAUAGGGCCCUAUAUAAGUAGUAGAACCGCGCGUAACCAACGGCACCACCAGAGGGCAAAACUAACGACCGGUGAAAAGCAAACAACAGUCAUACUGAGUACAAAGUCUUAAGGUAAAUAAAUUAAAAGAAAAAAAACAACAAACAGUGUAAUUUAUCUGUAAAAUAA